This is a long non-coding RNA of Salmo salar (Atlantic salmon), 789 nucleotides long. RefSeq lists it as uncharacterized. The record is from RefSeq and is a predicted model, not a curated record. NCBI's taxonomy places the organism in Eukaryota, Metazoa, Chordata, Actinopteri, Salmoniformes, Salmonidae.
GCAAGGUUCAUACAAACCUGGCUGUUACAAACCUCAAUUCUAGCUUGAAGCAAGCAUAAUGUGUUUAAUAUAUGCAUACUCUCUUCGAUAAAAAAACAGGGUUCUAUAUAGAACCUUUUAGUCAAUUUAACAUUUUACUGCCAUUCUGAUUUAAAAACCAACUGCCAUUCCAGCAUGACAAAGCAAGAGGACGGUGGUUGAACCAACUUCCAAGUAGCUAACCAAUGAGCACAUUAUUUUUCAAUGUAUUAAGUAUUUCAGUGCGGAGUCAAUUGAAGGGACUAUGUUUUUUGAAGCCGUUAGAAAACUGUUGCUGACUGAGAGGAGUAAUCCAGAACUAUCAGAGGUAGAGAAUCUGUCUUUCGGCUGCUGCUGACAACAACUGCGUUCAGGCAACAACCCAUACUGUACUGGCAGUAGGUAGCCCAGCAGUAAGAAGUUGUGGCAGGAGUUAGACCUGUGGCUGAAGGUGGCCAGUUUGAAUCCCUGGCCAGGAGCUGAAUUUUUUGUUGUUGUUGCAGGAUUGAUCUGAAAACUGGAGGGCUGCUGGGUUAUUAAUAUAAAAUAUUCAUAACAUUCCACCCAUGAGGCCACUAGAGGGAGAUUUGGUCAUUUGACUGUAGCUUGGGGGGGUUGAGAACGGAGCAGAAGACAUGUUUUUAUUGUUCGCUGUAACUAAUGGACAAAGUUGUAUUGUAUUUUAUUGUAUUGUAGAAGUCAGCCAGAGCUGACGUGGGCUGUCAUUCAAACAAUGUUUGCAUAUAAUGACAAUAAAUUCGAAAAGCUAUG